GUGUGAAUGUGUAAACAAGUGUAUAUGUGUGAGUGUGUGAGUGAUUGUGUGAUAUGAGUGUAAAUAAGUGUCUAUGGGAGUGUGUGUGAAUGUGUAAACAAGUGUAUAUGUGUGAGUGUGUGAGUGAUUGUGUGAUUAUGAGUGUAAAUAAGUCUAUGGGAGUGUGUGUGUGAAUGUGUAAAUAAGUGUAUAUGUGUGAGUGUGAGUGAUUGUGUGAUUAUGAGUGUAAAUAAGUCUAUGUGAGUGUGUGAAUGUGUAAACAAGUGUAUAUGUGUGAGUGUGUGAGUGAUUGUGUGAUAUGAGUGUAAAUAAGUAUAUGUGUGUGUGUGUGAAUGUGUAAACAAGUGUAUAUGUGUGAGUGUGUGAGUGAUUGUGUGAUAUGAGUGUAAAUAAGUGUCUUUGGGAGUGUGUGUGUGAAUGUGUAAACAAGUGUAUAUGUGUGAGUGUGUGAGUGAUUGUGUGAUUAUGAGUGUAAAUAAGUCUAUGGGAGUGUGUGUGUGAAUGUGUAAACAAGUGUAUAUGUGUGAGUGUGUGAGUGAUUGUGUGAUUAUGAGUGUAAAUAAGUCUAUGUGAGUGUGUGAAUGUGUAAACAAGUGUAUAUGUGUGAGUGUGUGAGUGAUUGUGUGAUAUGAGUGUAAAUAAGUCUAUGGGAGUGUGUGUGUGAAUGUGUAAACAAGUGUAUAUGUGUGAGUGUGUGAGUGAUUGUGUGAUUAUGAGUGUAAAUAAGUCUAUGGGAGUGUGUGUGUGAAUGU
Molecule: long non-coding RNA, 752 nt
Organism: Antechinus flavipes (yellow-footed antechinus)
Lineage: Eukaryota; Metazoa; Chordata; Mammalia; Dasyuromorphia; Dasyuridae
Exons: 2
Source: RefSeq, a predicted model, not a curated record